AGGACGAACGCUGGCGGCGUAGCCGUAACACGAUGCAAGUCGAGCGGAGUUACAAGAGGAAGUUUCGGAUGGAAUUUGUAAUUAGCGGCGGACGGGUGAGUAACGCGUGAGCGACCAACCUUGCACAGGGGGAUAACGGACCGAAAGGUUCACUAGUACCGCAUGAGACCACGGUGUGCAUGACACAGAGGUCAAAGGAGCAAUCCGGUGCAAGACGGGCUCGCGUCCGAUUAGGUAGUUGGUGGGGUAAUGGCCCACCAAGCCUAUGAUCGGUAGCCGACCUGAGAGGGUGAUCGGCCACAUUGGAACUGAGAUACGGUCCAAACUCCUACGGGAGGCAGCAGUGGGGAAUAUUGGGCAAUCGGGGGGAAACCCUGACCCAGCAACGCCGCGUGAAGGAAGAAGGUUUUCGGAUUGUAAACUUCUGUCCUUGGUGAAGAGAAGAAGACGGUAGCCAAGGAGGAAGCCCCGGCUAACUACGUGCCAGCCGCGGC
Molecule: ribosomal RNA, 494 nt
Filed under: uncultured bacterium
Lineage: Bacteria
Description: bacterial SSU rRNA
Rfam family: Bacterial small subunit ribosomal RNA
Source: RNAcentral